This 450-nucleotide ribosomal RNA is filed under the name Micrococcus luteus. RNAcentral describes it as "bacterial SSU rRNA". It matches the Rfam family "Bacterial small subunit ribosomal RNA", at positions 993 to 1441 of the family's 1533-position model. Lineage: Bacteria; Bacillati; Actinomycetota; Actinomycetes; Micrococcales; Micrococcaceae. The record is from RNAcentral.
GAUCGCCGUAGAGAUACGGUUUCUCCCUUGGGGCGCGUUCACAGGUGGUGCAUGGUUGUCGUCAGCAUCGUGUCGUGAGAUGUUGGGUUAAGUGUCGCAACGAGCGCAACCCUCGUUCCAUGUUGCCAGCACGUCGUGGUGGGGACUCAUGGGAGACUGCCGGGGUCAACUCGGAGGAAGGUGAGGACGACGUCAAAUCAUCAUGCCCCUUAUGUCUUGGGCUUCACGCAUGCUACAAUGGCCGGUACAAUGGGUUGCGAUACUGUGAGGUGGAGCUAAUCCCAAAAAGCCGGUCUCAGUUCGGAUUGGGGUCUGCAACUCGACCCCAUGAAGUCGGAGUCGCUAGUAAUCGCAGAUCAGCAACGCUGCGGUGAAUACGUUCCCGGGCCUUGUACACACCGCCCGUCAAGUCACGAAAGUUGGUAACACCCGAAGCCGGUGGCCUAACCC